UACGAAGGACCCGAGCGUUAUCCGGAUUUAUUGGGCUUAAAGGGUGCGUAGGCGGAUUAGUAAGUCAGUGGUGAAAGCCCGUCGCUUAACGGCGGAACUGCCAUUGAUACUGCUAGUCUUGAGUAUGGUUGAGGUGGGCGGAAUGUGUCAUGUAGCGGUGAAAUGCUUAGAUAUGACCCAGAACACCAAUUGCGAAGGCAGCUCGCUAAGCCAUAACUGACGCUGAGGCACGAAAGCGUGGGGAGCAAACAGG
This 253-nucleotide ribosomal RNA is filed under the name uncultured bacterium. RNAcentral describes it as "partial 16S ribosomal RNA". It matches the Rfam family "Bacterial small subunit ribosomal RNA", at positions 524 to 776 of the family's 1533-position model. The record is from RNAcentral.